Cinara cedri is the source of this 565-nucleotide non-coding RNA. The record is from the annotation of a GenBank genome assembly. Lineage: Eukaryota; Metazoa; Arthropoda; Insecta; Hemiptera; Aphididae.
UUUUAAAUUUGUAUUGCUUACGUAAUACUAUCUACUAUUUCAAUAAAACUUAAUGUCACUAAAAUUUUUUAUGCCCGAUCGUUGUUCACGAUACUUGUCAACUAGUGCUAUCUGUAUUAUAGUGCGUUAGUAAUUGGGAACCGAUAUCCCAUUAUAGUGAAUUCUUGAUUGAUAUCUUUAUUGAUCACAACGAAAUAUGUUACACGGUAUAAUAAGUACCUAUAAUACGAUAAUACGAUAUUAUGCAUUAUACACACUGUGAUACCGAUUUUAUACCGAUUCAAUAUCUAUAUGUGCUAGAUAAUAUUUAAAUUAUGCGUAUAAGAUGUUUUUCAACCCGUGGUAAAUAAUAUUGCGCAAUAACUGUCACUUGUGUAAUUCGUAAGGAAAGAAAAAAUACAAAUUCGCAGAAUCAAUUGCAACGUUUCUCGAACACAAUAAUAAUAUAAUAUAUGCUGAAAAAAAUCGAAUUAAAUUUACUUUUUUAAUAUUCAAAACGCGUAUUAGGUUCGUUUAUUAGAAUGUUACCAUGGUUUACCUUAUUGAUUUAAAUUAUUUAAAAUUU